RNAcentral lists this ribosomal RNA (1443 nucleotides) under Lacticaseibacillus paracasei. Its description in RNAcentral is "bacterial SSU rRNA". It matches the Rfam family "Bacterial small subunit ribosomal RNA". The record is from RNAcentral. Lineage: Bacteria; Bacillati; Bacillota; Bacilli; Lactobacillales; Lactobacillaceae.
UGCAAGUCGAACGAGUUCUCGUUGAUGAUCGGUGCUUGCACCGAGAUUCAACAUGGAACGAGUGGCGGACGGGUGAGUAACACGUGGGUAACCUGCCCUUAAGUGGGGGAUAACAUUUGGAAACAGAUGCUAAUACCGCAUAGAUCCAAGAACCGCAUGGUUCUUGGCUGAAAGAUGGCGUAAGCUAUCGCUUUUGGAUGGACCCGCGGCGUAUUAGCUAGUUGGUGAGGUAAUGGCUCACCAAGGCGAUGAUACGUAGCCGAACUGAGAGGUUGAUCGGCCACAUUGGGACUGAGACACGGCCCAAACUCCUACGGGAGGCAGCAGUAGGGAAUCUUCCACAAUGGACGCAAGUCUGAUGGAGCAACGCCGCGUGAGUGAAGAAGGCUUUCGGGUCGUAAAACUCUGUUGUUGGAGAAGAAUGGUCGGCAGAGUAACUGUUGUCGGCGUGACGGUAUCCAACCAGAAAGCCACGGCUAACUACGUGCCAGCAGCCGCGGUAAUACGUAGGUGGCAAGCGUUAUCCGGAUUUAUUGGGCGUAAAGCGAGCGCAGGCGGUUUUUUAAGUCUGAUGUGAAAGCCCUCGGCUUAACCGAGGAAGCGCAUCGGAAACUGGGAAACUUGAGUGCAGAAGAGGACAGUGGGAACUCCAUGUGUAGCGGUGAAAUGCGUAGAUAUAUGGAAGAACACCAGUGGCGAAGGCGGCUGUCUGGUCUGUAACUGACGCUGAGGCUCGAAAGCAUGGGUAGCGAACAGGAUUAGAUACCCUGGUAGUCCAUGCCGUAAACGAUGAAUGCUAGGUGUUGGAGGGUUUCCGCCCUUCAGUGCCGCAGCUAACGCAUUAAGCAUUCCGCCUGGGGAGUACGACCGCAAGGUUGAAACUCAAAGGAAUUGACGGGGGCCCGCACAAGCGGUGGAGCAUGUGGUUUAAUUCGAAGCAACGCGAAGAACCUUACCAGGUCUUGACAUCUUUUGAUCACCUGAGAGAUCAGGUUUCCCCUUCGGGGGCAAAAUGACAGGUGGUGCAUGGUUGUCGUCAGCUCGUGUCGUGAGAUGUUGGGUUAAGUCCCGCAACGAGCGCAACCCUUAUGACUAGUUGCCAGCAUUUAGUUGGGCACUCUAGUAAGACUGCCGGUGACAAACCGGAGGAAGGUGGGGAUGACGUCAAAUCAUCAUGCCCCUUAUGACCUGGGCUACACACGUGCUACAAUGGAUGGUACAACGAGUUGCGAGACCGCGAGGUCAAGCUAAUCUCUUAAAGCCAUUCUCAGUUCGGACUGUAGGCUGCAACUCGCCUACACGAAGUCGGAAUCGCUAGUAAUCGCGGAUCAGCACGCCGCGGUGAAUACGUUCCCGGGCCUUGUACACACCGCCCGUCACACCAUGAGAGUUUGUAACACCCGAAGCCGGUGGCGUAACCCUUUUAGGGAGCGAGCCGUCUAA